RNAcentral lists this long non-coding RNA (591 nucleotides) under Gallus gallus (chicken). Its description in RNAcentral is "long non-coding RNA NONGGAT009462". Lineage: Eukaryota; Metazoa; Chordata; Aves; Galliformes; Phasianidae. The record is from RNAcentral.
GUAGAUUAUAACUGAUGUCUGAAGCUAAAAUAUUUAGUGGGCCCUUUGAAUCAUUUAAUCUCUAUAAAACAGUGCAGUAUCAACAGUUAUAACAAGAUAGUCACUCUGUGAUCACUAUAAGUAUCUUCCUUUAAGUUUGCACCUAACUUUGCACUAUGUAACGUGAACAAAUUGUUCUGAAAAGGAGCCAAAGAGGGAGGACAGGAAUGAAGGCUUUCCCCUGAAUGGGAAGAUAAGUGCUCACUGUUGGAGGUGGGCAAAGCAUGGUCAAAAAUGGCUGGGGGGAACGUCACAAGUGUCUUUAACAGGUCUCAAGGGAUGGAGAAAAAGAUGUAGAUAGCAGAACAACCCUAUCCCUGCACCCCAGCACAUAACAGCGUGGAAUGGUGGAAGAGUGCCCAGGCAGCCUCUGAAUGAACAGUAAUGCCUUGAAUAACAACACAUCAAAGCUAUCAGAAGGAAAAAAAAAGGAGGCUGUGCUUAGCUGCCCUAUGGCCAGAAACUGCUGCUGGAAGGAAAGAUGCAGUACUUCAAAAGCAUGUGGACAAUCCCUUUGUAUAAAAUGGCCAGCACGGUAAAACACAGCAAAGU